Molecule: ribosomal RNA, 449 nt
Filed under: uncultured bacterium
Lineage: Bacteria
Description: bacterial SSU rRNA
Rfam family: Bacterial small subunit ribosomal RNA
Source: RNAcentral
UGCCCAGACUCCUACGGGAGGCAGCAGUGGGGCCUCUUGCACAAUGGGGGCAACCCUGCUGCCGCGACGCCGCGUGCGUGAAGAAGUCUUUCGGUCUGUACCGCUCUAUCAGCAGGGCCGCAAAUGACGGUACCUGAUUAAGAAGCCCCGGCUAACUACGUGCCAGCAGCCGCGGUAAUACGUAGGGGGCAAGCGUUAUCCGGAUUUACUGGGUGUAAAGGGAGCGUAGACGGCAGCGCAAGUCUGAAGUGAAAUGCCGGGGCUUAACCCCGGAACUGCUUUGGAAACUGUGCAGCUAGAGUGCAGGAGAGGUAAGUGGAAUUCCUAGUGUAGCGGUGAAAUGCGGAGAUAUUAGGAGGAACACCAGUGGCGAAGGCGGCUUACUGGACUGUAACUGACGUUGAGGCUCGAAAGCGUGGGGAGCAAACAGGAUUAGAUACCCCCGUACU